GAGAGUUUGAUCCUGGCUCAGAUUGAACGCUGGCGGCAGGCCUAACACAUGCAAGUCGAGCGGAUGAAGGGAGCUUGCUCCUGGAUUCGGCGGCGGACGGGUGAGUAAUGCCUAGGAAUCUGCCUGGUAGUGGGGGAUAACGUCCGGAAACGGGCGCUAAUACCGCAUACGUCCUGAGGGAGAAAGUGGGGGAUCUUCGGACCUCACGCUAUCAGAUGAGCCUAGGUCGGAUUAGCUAGUUGGUGGGGUAAAGGCCUACCAAGGCGACGAUCCGUAACUGGUCUGAGAGGAUGAUCAGUCACACUGGAACUGAGACACGGUCCAGACUCCUACGGGAGGCAGCAGUGGGGAAUAUUGGACAAUGGGCGAAAGCCUGAUCCAGCCAUGCCGCGUGUGUGAAGAAGGUCUUCGGAUUGUAAAGCACUUUAAGUUGGGAGGAAGGGCAGUAAGUUAAUACCUUGCUGUUUUGACGUUACCAACAGAAUAAGCACCGGCUAACUUCGUGCCAGCAGCCGCGGUAAUACGAAGGGUGCAAGCGUUAAUCGGAAUUACUGGGCGUAAAGCGCGCGUAGGUGGUUCAGCAAGUUGGAUGUGAAAUCCCCGGGCUCAACCUGGGAACUGCAUCCAAAACUACUGAGCUAGAGUACGGUAGAGGGUGGUGGAAUUUUCUGUGUAGCGGUGAAAUGCGUAGAUAUAGGAAGGAACACCAGUGGCGAAGGCGACCACCUGGACUGAUACUGACACUGAGGUGCGAAAGCGUGGGGAGCAAACAGGAUUAGAUACCCUGGUAGUCCACGCCGUAAACGAUGUCGACUAGCCGUUGGGGAUCCUUGAGAUCUUAGUGGCGCAGCUAACGCGAUAAGUCGACCGCCUGGGGGAGUACGGCCG
Molecule: ribosomal RNA, 888 nt
Filed under: uncultured bacterium
Lineage: Bacteria
Description: bacterial SSU rRNA
Rfam family: Bacterial small subunit ribosomal RNA
Source: RNAcentral